GAGAACAUCACAUCUACAGGAACACAGAGCCCCUCCGUGUGAGCUACUGUUCCUGGGAAAGCUGGUCAUACCAAGGACAGCCCUUUGGCAAGCAUGCAGCCUUUGUUCCUCUGCCUACUUAAGCAAGCUUCUUUUGGGGGGGCGGUUGCGGGUGCACACCUCCAUCCAGUCGGCCGCCACUGGACACGCUCCCGUUUAAUGUCUUUUCCGGUGUCUUAAGGUAAAUGUUGGAUUAACUUGAGAUCUUUCUUCUUUUAUAAUAUCAGUGAAAGGUGACAAACAGGAACAUUUGGAUUCUUGUCCACUGGAUAAGGCCUGUACAGAAAAAGGUGGUGACACAGAAACUGAAAAACCCAGCUUUACUGAAAUAAGUAAGGGAAUGCAGGAUUUAUUUACAUUGCAAUUCUAGUAUUUAUACUCAGACAAUUUAUGUCAGUUCCUGGCAUUGAAGGCCCCCAGGGAUGAGGGAAAGUAGAGAUCUUAAUAGUCUGAGGGAACCUAAGGGAAAGGUCAGAGUAUUUGUAGGCCAACACACCCAUUCUUCUGUCAAAGUAUGGAGAAGACGUGUAUUAGUUAGUUUUCCAGAGAAACAGAACCGAGAGAGAGAUAUAUAUAUAUUACAGCUCGCACAGGCUGACAAGUACUGAGAACUGCAGAGUGAAAUGGCAAGCUGGAGACUGAAGAAAGCCAAUGAUGUAGAUACAGUCCAAGUCCAAAUCCAAAUGCUUGAGAACCAGGAGAGUCGAUGGUGUCAUGCCAGUCAGAAGGCUGACAGGCUUGAGAAACAGGAAAUAUUAGACUCAGUGUUUCAAUUGGAGUCAAAAGGCAGGAAAAAGUACAUGUCCUGGUUCAAAGGCUGUCAUGCUGGAGGAAUUCUCUCUUACUUGGGGGAGGAUCAGCGUUUUUGUUCUAAGUCUUCAACUGAUUAUAUGAUGGUUAUCCACAUUAGAGAAGGCAAUCUGCCUUACUCAGUUUAUCAGUUUAAAUGUUAACCUCAUUCAAAAAAACACCCUCACAGACACACCCAGAAGUAAAGUCUGACCAAAUACCUGGGCACCCUCUGGCCCACUCAAGUUGAAACAUAAAAUUAUCACCACAAAGAUAAGCAGGAUAGCAGUAACUUCUAAGUGAACCUCUUCUGGUUCCCAAGGAAUGGCAGUAUUUGUAGCGUGAAAUAUGAAAAGGAAAGAGAUAUGUAGCCAUCAGCUUAACCAAGAAUUCAGCAGUUUAAGCAGAAUCCAAAUAAUUAAUCCACAAAGAUUGAGUUGUAUAGAUGAUAGCAGUCACAGCUCUUUAUCACAGCCUUUAUCACUUAAUCAUCACUCUUUAUCACAGCUUGGGGACUCAAAGUGUCAUAUGUAGUUCAUGAUUUUGAAAUUGUUGUAAGAACAUUUCCUAGCCGAAUGUAUCAGGAAGGAGAACCUCCUCUUGGCUUUCUAGAGAUUAAAAGCUACAUGAGUGGGGCUGGCAAAUGCCAUAAAAAUGGAUACUAGCCAUUUUCCUAGGGAGAAGUGAUGAAAAAGUCACAUGUCAUCAAACAAUUGAAGAUGAGUUGAGAAAUAGACCAGCUUUACCAAGUCAAAGCCAGUUUCACAUUUCUAACUGCGAGGGAGUUGGUGAAGAAUGUCACUGUCCAAAUUCUGGCUCCUACAGAAAGUACCUGGAAUAGGACAAGGAGGAGGUACUUCCAAGGGAGGCAGAUUCUACCCUUUCAAUUACAUGAAAGGUAAAGAGUUGGGUAGAAAAUUGAGGGUAAGAGAAAUGAAAGGAUUUUACUAGUGAGAGUUGAAAUAUAUAAGGUUGCUAGUUGAAGCAAAAUGGGAUUCAGAGGUUGAAGGAUACAAGAUUGCUAUACAAAAUUCACUUUCCUAUAUACAGUAGUCACUCCUUAUAUGCAGUUUUAUUUUCCAUGGUUUCAGAUACUCAUGGUCAACAGGGGUCCAAAAAUAUUAGAUGGAAAAUUCCAGAAAUAAUUCAUAAGUUUUAAACUGAAUGCCAUUCUGAGUAGCAUGAUGAAAUCUCAUCCCUCCUGAUCUGUCCUGCCAAGGAUGUGAAUUAUCCCUUUGUCAAGCGGAUCCACACUGUACAUGCUACCUGCUCAUUAGUCACUUAGUAGCUGUCUUGGUUAUCAGAUCUACUGACAUGGUAUUGCAGUGCUUGUGUUCAAGUCACCCUUAUUUUACUGAAUAACGGCCCCAAAUCACAAGAGUAUUGAUUCUCACAAUUCAGAUAUGCUAAAGAGAAGCUGUGAAGUGCUUCCUUUAAGUGAAAAGGCAAAAGUUCUUGACAUAAUAAGGAAAGGAAAAGAAUCAUAUGUUGAGGAUGCUAAGACAUACACUAACUUUUAUUACAGCAUAUUUUUUAUGAGUUAUUUUUUUUAGUUAUUAUUGUUAAUCUCUUACUGUGCCUAAUUUAUAAGUUAAACUUUAUCACAGGUAUGUAUGUAAACGAAAAAACAUAGUACAUGUUGGGGUCAGUUCUAUCUGUGGUUUCAUGCAUCUCCUGGGGGUCUCGGAACGUAUCCCCCACAGAUAAGGGAGGACUACUAUACCAAUAAUGGACAAGUAGAAUUUGAAAUUAAAAACACAAUACCAAUCACAUUAGCACACACACAAAGUGAAAUACAUGGGUAUAAAUCUAACAAAAUAUGUACAAGACCUGUAUGAGGAAAACUACAAAACUUUGAAAGAAGAUAAAGAGGAACUAAAUAAAUUGAAAGAUAUUCCAUGUUCACAGUUAGGAAGACUCAAUAUUGUCAAGAUGUCAGUUCUUCCCAACUUGAUCUAUAGAUUCAAUGCAAUUCUAAUCAAAAUCACAGUUAGUUAUUUUUUUGGAUAUUGACAAACUGAUUCUGAAGUUUAUAUGGAAAGGCAAAAAUCCAGAAUAGCCAAAGAGUACUGAAGAAGAUAAUCAAAGUCAGAAGACUAACACUACCCAACCUCAAGACUUAGUAUAAAGCUACAGUAAUCAAGACACUAUGGUGUUGGCAAAAGAAUAAACAAAUAGAGAAUGAAACAGAAUAGAGAGCCCACAAAUAGAUCCACAUAAAUAUAGUCAAGUAAUCUUUGACCGGGGAGCAAAGGCAUUACAAGGAAGUAGAGAUAGUCCUUUCAACAAAUGAUAUUGGAACAACUGAACCUCCACAUGCCAAAAAACGAAAACAAAAUAGACCUUACACCCUUCAUGAAGACUGGCUCAAAAUGGAUCAUAAACCUAAAUGUAAAAUGCAAAAACUAUAAAACUCCUAAUAGAUAAUAAUAGAUAACAUAAGAGAAAAUCUAGAUGACUUUGGUUCUAGCAAUUAUUUUUUAGAUACAACAGCAAAUCCAUGAUCCAGGAAAGAAAGAAUUGAUAAGAAGUACAUCAUUAAAAUUAAAAAUUUCUUCUCUGUGAAAGACACUGUCAACAGAAGGAGAAGACAAACCAUAGACUGGGAGAAAAUAUUUGCAAAGGCCCUCUCUGAUAAAGGACUGCUAUCCAAAAUAUACAAAGAGCUCUUAAAACGCAACUAUGAAAAACCAAACAAUCCAAUUGAAAAAUGGGCCAAAGACCUUAACAGAUAUCUCACAAAGAAGAUAUACAGAUGGAAAAUAAGCAUAUGAAAAGAUACUCCAUGUCAUAUGUCAUCAGAGAAAUUCAAAUUAGAAAAACAAUGAGACACCGCUACACACCUAUUAGAAUGGCCAAAAUCUAGAACACUGAUAACACCAAACACUGGCAAAGAUGUGGAACAACAGGAACUCUCAUUCAUUGCUGGUGGAAACGCAAAAUGGUACAGCUACUUGAGAAGACAUUUUGCUGGUUUCUUACAAAACAAAACAUACUCUUACCAUGUAAUCCAGCAAUCAUACUUCUUUCUAUCUAUCCAAAGGAGUUGAGAGCGUACAUCCACAGAAAAACCUGCACAUGAAUGUUUAUAGCACCUUUAUUCAUAAUUGCCAAGACUUGGAAGCAACCAAGAUGUCCCUCAGAAGGUGAAUGGAUAAAUUAACUGUGGUACAUCAAGACAAUGUCAUAUUAUUCAAUACUAAAAAUGAAUGAGCUAUCAAGCUGUGAAACGACAUGGAGGAACUUUAAAUGCAUGUUACUACACGAAAGAAGCCAGUCUGAAAGCCUCCAUACUGUAUGAUUCCAAUUAUAUCGCUUCCUGGAAUUGACAAAACUAUGUAGACAGUGAAAGGUUUAGUAGGUACCUGGAGUGGGGGUGGGGGGAGGGAGGGAUGACUAGGCAGAGCACAGAGGAUUUUUAGGGAGAUGAAACUGUUCUGUAUGAUACUGUAAUGGUGGACACAUGGCCUUAUAUAUUUGUGUAACCCAUGGUAUGUGCAACAUCAAGAGUGAAGCGUAAUGUAAACAAUGGACUUUAGAUGAUUAUGACAUGUCAAUGUAGGUUCAAAAAUUGCAACAAAUGUACCAUGCCGGUGGGUGAUGUUGAUAAUGGUGAGGGGGAGGCUAUUGAUGUGUAGGGGCAUGGGAAAUCUCUGUACCUUCUUAUUGUUGUUCCUGUGAGCUUAAAGCUGCUAUAAAACUUAAGCCUAUUAAAAUUUUUUAAAAAGGAUCCAGACAGUCCUGUGACUGUUGAAACAAUGGGCGUGGUAGACUUGAAGGCAAAUAUUUGCAUCCAUUUACUAGAAUGUGGUCUUUUAGUCUUUGGCUGCAGGAAAUGUGGAGGCGUCAAGCAUUAUGAGAUGGCAGAAAAUGGGAAGGAAGGACUGCAGAGCUUCUGGUGCUCACCUGAGCCUCCUCUUAUCAUUUCUUCAUGGUUUUAGUGCAGAGAGGAUUAAAGGAUACAUGCAAUGUGCUAUUUUGCCAUUUCCAGAUUUUCUUUCUCCCUUCCUUCCUUCCCCUUCCUUCUCUUUUCCUCCCCUCUGAUGUCCUCCCCUUCCUUUCCAUCCCCUUCCCUUCUCUUCUAUUUCUCUCUCCUUUUCUUUUUUUGUGUGCUAGCUCAAGGAAGAAGAGUUGUUUGAAGAGUCCCUAAGACAACCUCCAAAGUAUAGUGUCUCUUGCAAAGAAGAAACUCAAAAUUAUUAGUUUUCUUUCUCUUCACUCCUCUACCUCCCUUCGCUUCCCAUCUAGCAGCUCCUCACUGCUUGCUCUUAAGUUUCCUGCCUCUGUAUUCCCAGGCUGAUGUGGAGAGAUUGCAACAAGGUAUGAUAUAUCUAAACUGAAAUGCAAUUUCCUUUGGCGAGCUCUUUCCAGGUCUAGAUUUUUCUAAACACAUUUUCCUUGUAACUCUAUGUUUUAAAGAUUAUUUUUGGAGGGAAUUCACAAAAACUUUCCCUCUUCUCUAGUAAUCAACAGUAUUUGUUCAAUGCACAUCUAUGGAGUAACUACUCUGUGUCAUAUAUAACUGUCGAUGCUGAGAAUAGAAAGAUGAACAAAUUAGAUCCCUGCCAAUGGGGAGCCAGGCCUUGUGAAAGUUUAAAUAAUUUCCUUUCAGAUAUUGCUUUUGGAAAUUAGAAUUUAUUUUUCACAAUUGAAAUCACGAAAAUCUUAGUUUUCCAGCUUCACGUAGAAGUUUCUUAUCCAACAAAAUUAUAUAUAACCAUGGGAAUCCUGAAAAUGUACUUGGAAGUUUUGCAACAAAUUUUUCUUCCAAAACAAGACUUUGGGCAUUUGUUAAACUGAAGAGUAAUUCAAAAUUCGAAUUGUAGAGGCCCAGAAUUUUAAUUAUUACAAACCAAAAUGGCUCUCUCUCUUAAUAUUGUCCUUAUAAACCGUUUUGGUAAUUUUGUUUCCAAAAUGUUGGCAGUUUAAUUAUAAACUCAAUUGAAAUAUUAGAGACAUUGCAUUUCAUGUAUUAGACCUUCACUUUGGAUUAGUGAAUUUAAAGAAACGUGGUCAUAUAAAUCUAAGGAGAAGUCAGGAAUUACUGUUAACUUAAUUUUCAACCCAUGUAUGAUAUAACAAUACUAAAAAAUAAAAGCUGCCAUGUUUGUACUAUAUGCCAAGUACCAUCUUGGGUAUACAUUAUACCAUUUAAUUAUAGCAGCAAGCCUGCAAGAUUUCCCAGUAUUACAGAUUGAAUACCUGUGAAGGAAAUUUCUUCAAGCAGUGUUAUUUUUCACUAGAGAAGCUACUUUUUUCUGCACUGUCCUCUGUAUAAUGAUGACCACUUUAUUGAUACUCAUCUACCAUAUUUAAGGUAAUGAGAAAUUUUUUUUUGAGGAAGGUUAGCCCUGAGCUAACAUCUGUGCCCAUCUCCCUCUAUUUUAUGUGGGACGCCUGCCACAGCACGGCUUGACAAGUGGUACAUAGGUCUGCACCUGGGAUCUGAACUAGUGAACCCCAGGCCGCUGAAGUGGAACAUGUGAACUCAACCGCUGCACCACCGGGCUGGCCCCUAAGGUGCAGAAGACAGCCAAGCAAGUGGAGAUGCCCCUGUAAGCACACGCAGCCGCAAGAUCUUCUGAAGCAUCCAUCACAAGUUCAAGAAAGCACAAGAGAAGUGAAUCAGAAUACCAGAUGGAAUUAGCUGGAGCAGAACCAAGAGUCCCAGGAGAACUCUGCCGAUCCAAGUAAUGCACUGUGUAUGGAGAGCCCUGGAGACCCUACAACUAUCUGCUGCAUCUCCAGAGGAGCCUGUGGAGACAUGGCCAACCACGUAGAGACCAAAUGUUACACCAAUAGGCUACACAGAUUGUAAUUAUUAAAAUAAAAUCAAUA
RNAcentral lists this long non-coding RNA (6666 nucleotides) under Equus caballus (horse). Its description in RNAcentral is "lncRNA (ENSECAG00000045316.1)". The record is from RNAcentral. Lineage: Eukaryota; Metazoa; Chordata; Mammalia; Perissodactyla; Equidae.